CUGAAAUAUUCUGUUCCACUGGGUGGCCCUUACGCGAAUAUUCAUGAUAUCCUCCUCUUGUGGGCAUGUCCUUGAGACAACGCGCAAGCGAACGGAACUGAAAAUAUUAGUAGACGCUUCUCAAAUCGCAUCGGUUUAAUGGAUUAUUUCGAAAAGUCCUGCUGCAGGAGACAAGAGGACUGCAGAAGUGAACAGAGCAAUAAACUGCAAUGUCUGUAAUGUAAGAUGUCUGAGACAGUGCUACAGGGAGACAGAAGGACAUGCAGCUGAUUGUCCUUACAGUGCCAAACCACAUGUGACCAUAAGUCCCACCAGACAUGUUUGAGAACGUGAAUUGCCUUGAUGGAAGAGUGGAGUAACAUCUCACAGCAAGAGCUGCAAAUCUGGUGCUGAGGAUGAGAUGCUCUAAACCAGCUGGUGCAGACUUUCAAAUACUCUGUCCAUCAAAUGUCUGUGAAAUUUGUUCAGUUUAUGUCUCAGUUGUUGAAUAUUUUUGUUUGUACAAAUAUAUUUUUU
Long non-coding RNA from Megalobrama amblycephala (Wuchang bream), 516 nucleotides. RefSeq lists it as uncharacterized. The record is from RefSeq and is a predicted model, not a curated record. The transcript has 2 exons. Lineage: Eukaryota; Metazoa; Chordata; Actinopteri; Cypriniformes; Xenocyprididae.